AGAGGGUGUUGGUAUUGUUUAUAAAAAUGGCGAAAUGUGUGAAGAGUUUUGUCAUCUUCUGUUUUCGAAUUUUCAUGUUUCACUGCACAAAAUCAACCAAUUAUUUACAUAAAAUGUACCUGCCGUCUAGUCAACAGAUUAAAUUUGGACCCCAUUUUAAAAACAAAUUGCUCAACACCUCUGUAACUCACACCCUCAGCUUCAUAUGCAUCAUCCUCUCACAUCUUAGUCAAAACUUCGAGCUGUUUUGCUUAAUAGUUGUGGCAUUGGAUGUGUGGUUACAGGUUCAUUCUUUCCUGAAAGAUGCUUCACCUUUGAACACUUUUGGUGGGGUGUCAUGAAAUUGUAUUGCUGCCGAUUCCCUGCAGCUCCCACUUCAUAGCUACAAGAAAUGACUUAUAGGAAGCCUACAACAGAUUGAGGUGGUGUGGUAUGCCAUUGGAUUUCGCGAGUCAGCCGCCGAUGUCAAUCUACAACGCAGUUUAUUUAUUGAAAUUGUGUGGUCCUGGCACAGAUAGAUCCUUGAUGCUGGCCUUUUUCCUUGACAGAAGAGUGACUUCUACCAACUUUCUGCUCCAUCCUUAUCUUCGCUUCCCACACUCAUCUAGCUUCUCUGCAUAUUAUGCUGCUAAACAAUUUGUCCUACUUCACUGACGAGUUAGACCAGUCGCUUCCGUCCGCAGCGACAGACCUACUGUCACUCACCACGGAAUUAUGCCCAGGAACGUAACACACUACCUUGUAAUGGCAACUCUAGCAGAGCAAGCGUCCAAGCUGCUGGACUUUGAUCAGAAGUUGGACAUUACAUUACUUGAUAGCAUAGUUGGGUGUAUGUACUCUGGAGCUGGCGAACAACAACGACUAGCAUGUGACGUCUUGACGACACUGAAGGAGCACCCUCAGGCUUGGACGAGAGUAGACACAAUCCUUGAGUUUUCGAGCAAUCAAGAAACAAAGUAUUAUGCCCUGCAAAUUCUAGAAGCCGUCAUAAAAACUAGAUGGAAAACCUUGCCUCGAGAGAAAUGCGAAGGAAUAAUGAAAUACAUUGUCGGUUUGACCAUCAAAAUAUCUUCAGAAAACGAAAGUGUUGAACGUGAAAAAGUGUACCUUAGUAAACUCAACAUGGUACUGGUUCUAAUACUGGAACGUGAGUUGCCCAACCAUUGGCCCUCGUUCAUCCCAGAUAUUGUCGGUGCCAGCAAAACCAACGAGAGUUUGUGCCAAAAUAACAUGGCCAUCCUUAAGCUUCUUUCGGAAGAAGUAUUUGACUUUUCAUCUGGUAACAUGACGCAGAUUAAAGCUAAGCAUCUGAAGGAUUCCAUGUGCUCUGAAUUUUCCCAGAUUUUCCAGCUCUGCCAGUUUGUUAUGGACAAUUCAGUCAACGCUGCCCUUGUGGGUUCUACCCUAGAAACACUUUUACGAUUUCUCAGCUGGGUACCUCUGGGCUACAUCUUUGAAACCAAGCUGAUUGCAACUCUCACUUUAAAAUUUCUGAACGUGCCACUCUUUCGCAACGUUACUUUGAAGUGUCUCACAGAAAUUGCCGGCCUAGCCACUGGUCCCCAAUACGACGAUGCAUUCACCGCUCUUUUCUCCCGGACGAUGACUCAACUGGAGUUGAUGCUCCCUCUCGACAUGAAUAUCAAAGAAGCUUUCGCCAAAGGCCAUGACACAGAACAGAAUUUUAUCCAGAACUCGGCCAUGUUCCUCUGUACCAUGCUACGUCAGCAUGGUCCAUUGAUGGAGCGUCGCAACAAGGUCAACGUUCUCAAAGCCCUUCAGUAUCUACUACUCAUCUCCGAGGUGGAAGAGACUGAAAUCUUCAAAAUUUGCCUCGAGUACUGGAACGCCUUGGCCGCCGACUUGUAUUGCGAGAUGUUAAUGACCAAAACGAGCAACACAGGAUCAUCUGCACGUUACGUCUUCUAUCAGACAGUUCUCAGUCGGUUGCGUUACAUCAUCAUCAGCCGAAUGGCGAAACCUGAGGAGGUGUUGGUGGUUGAGAACGAAAAUGGCGAGGUGGUUCGAGAGUUUAUGAAGGAUACCGACUCCAUUAACCUCUACAAGAACAUGCGAGAGACUCUCGUCUACCUGACCCAUUUGGAUUACGUCGAUGCCGAGAGGAUCAUGACGGAUAAACUGCAAAACCAAGUAAAUGGAACGGAGUGGUCCUGGAAAAACCUCAACACUCUGUGCUGGGCGAUUGGCAGCAUAUCAGGAGCCAUGCACGAAGAAGACGAGAAGCGAUUCUUGAUCACAGUCAUCAAGGAACUCCUGAGUCUAUGCGUUCAGAAAAGGGGCAAGGACAACAAGGCUAUUAUUGCCUCCAAUAUCAUGUACGUUGUAGGUCAGUAUCCUCGUUUCCUUCAAGCCCACUGGAAGUUUCUCAAAACUGUCGUCAACAAACUUUUCGAGUUUAUGCACGAAACACACGAUGGUGUCCAGGACAUGGCUUGCGAUACUUUCAUCAAGAUUGCCCAAAAGUGUCGUCGACACUUUGUGCAGCUACAGGCCGGUGAAGUGACACCUUUCAUUGAAGAGAUUCUAUCGACCAUCAGCACCAUCAUUUGCGAUCUCCAACCUCAACAAGUUCACACGUUUUACGAAGCUGUCGGCUACAUGAUUAGUGCUCAAACUGAGAAAAGUGUUCAAGAACCUUUAAUCGAGCGCUACAUGCUCCUACCCAACCAAGUGUGGGAUGAAAUCAUCAAUCAGGCCACGCGCAACGUCGACGUUCUCAAAGAUCCCGACGCAGUCAAGCAGUUGGCUAACAUUUUGAAGACAAACGUCCGGGCUUGCAAAGCGCUGGGCCAUCCGUACGUCUCCCAGCUCGGUAGGAUCUUUGUAGGUAUGCUUAAUGUGUACAAGGUGAUGUCAGAAAACAUUAGCGGUGCGAUCGCCCUCAGUGGAGAAAACGUUACUAAGCAGCCCUUGAUCAAGAGCAUGCGGCUCGUCAAGAAGGAGACCCUCAAACUCAUUUCCGAUUGGGUCUCCGAUUGGGGCUCACGUUCCAACGAUCUCGUGCUCGACAACUUCAUCCCACCGCUGUUGAAUGCAGUUCUCUACGACUACCAACGGUGCGCAGAUCCUUCGGCCCGCGAACCCGAGGUUCUCAGCACGAUGGCCACCAUCGUCAACAGACUGAAGGGCCACACCACCUCCAAUGUGCCGAAAAUCUUCGACUCGGUAUUCCAAUGCACCUUGGACAUGAUCAACAAGAACUUUGAAGAAUUUCCCGAGCAUCGUACCAACUUUUACCUUCUGCUCCGGUCCAUCAACAACCACUGUUUCCCCACCUUCCUCAGUCUGCCUCCGGCCCAGUUUAAGCUAGUGCUCGACUCAAUCAUCUGGGCGUUUAAGCACACGAUGCGUAACGUUGCCGACACGGGUCUCGACAUUCUCUACCAGCUCCUGCAGAAUGUCAGCCAACACGAACAGGCGGCACAGAGCUUUUAUCAGACUUACUACAUCGAGAUUCUGCAACACGUUUUCUCUGUAGUGACCGACACAUCACACACGGCGGCCCUCACCAUGCACGCCACCAUCCUGGCUUACAUGUUCACAAUUGUCGAAAUGGGAAAGGUGGCGGUGUCGUUAAACCCGACUGGCGCCGUGAUUGCCCCAGAGAGUCUGGCGGCUGCCAAUGUCAUCUUCGUCCAGAAUUUCGUAGCGGAGGUGCUGCACAAUGCCUUUCCUCACUUGACACAGCUCCAGAUUAAGGUGACUGUCGAAGGACUCUUCAACCUUGAUCAAGACAUCACUGGAUUCCGGGAACAUCUCCGAGAUUUCCUCGUUCAGAUCAAAGAAUUUACUGGUGAUGACGACAGCGACCUGUAUUUGGAAGAGAGAGAGGGUGAGCUGCGGCGUGCCCAGGACGAGAAACGCAAACUCCAAAUGUCGGUGCCGGGCAUCUUGAACCCGUACGAAAUCGCCGCUUUUUAUGCAAGAUUAAGUCUUACUUGAAAAAAACAAAAAAUCUUAAAGAAGAGGGGCCUGAAUUAGCUCAGAGAGAAUCACGCGGGAAUUUGCUGUCGGAUAAAGAGAAGGUUCCUUCAAGAGAGGCAUGCAGCGCCACCACAGCUUCGAAUCGCUCGUCUGCUUUGUUUUGAGUUUGUUUUGUUCAUGGCUUUGUUUGGGUUUUACAACCAGCAUUCCUUCUCGUCAUGUCAAUAAAGUUUGGUUGUUUCGUAAUGGUGAUCCUAUUUAUUUACUUUUUAUUCCAUUUUCUCUUACUUUUUGAAGCUUUACUUUCUUGGUGACAAUCCUGCAUGAAGCACUGGCAUCAUCUAGCGGUUGUUUCUAACAAUUCAUACGAUUGUCCAGUUUGCCGCUAGAGGGUGUUGAUAUUGUUUAUAAAAAUGGCGAAAUGUGUGAAGAGUUUUGUCAUCUUCUGUUUUCGAAUUUUCAUGUUUUACUGCCCAAAAUCAACCAAUUAUUUACAUAAAAUGUACCUGCCGUCUAGUCAACAGAUUAAAUUUGGACCCCAUUUUAAAAACAAAUUGCUCAACACCUCUGUAACUCACACCCUCAGCUUCAUAUGCAUCAUCCUCUCACAUCUUAGUCAAAACUUCAAGCUGUUUUGCCCAAUAGUUGUGGCAUUGGAUGUGUGGUUACAGGUUCAUUCUUUCCUGAAAGAUGCUUCACCUUUGAACACUUUUGGUGGGGUGUCAUGAAAUUGUAUUGCUGCCAUUCCCUGCAGCUCCCACUUCAUAGCUACAAGAAAUAACUUAUAGGAAGCCUACAACAGAUUGAGGCAAAGGUGGUGUGGUAUGCCAUUGGAUUUUGCGAGUCAGCCGCCGAUGUCAAUCUACAACGCAGUUUCUUUAUUGGAAUUGUGUGGUCCUGGCACAGAGAUCCUUGAUGCUGGCCUUUGUCCUUGACAGAAGAGUGACUUCUACCAACUUUCUGCUCCAUCCUUAUCUUCGCUUCCCACACACAUCUAGCUUCUCUGCAUAUUAUGCUGCUAAACAAUUUGUCCUACUUCACUGACGAGUUAGUCCAUUCGCUUCCGUCCGCAGCGACACACCUACUGUCACUCACCACGGAAUUAUGCCCAGGGAAAGCUGCUCGAGUAAUCUGUCUGAGUAAUCCUCACUUGAUUCAUUUCGUGCCAGCUAGAGCUAGUGAAAGGCGUGACGAAUUCAAAUUUAGCUGCUGCUUGCUGUCGGCUAGCAAGCAAUCCAAUUGAUGUCCACCAGGUGGCGCGAGUGUCUUCAAGGACUAAAUUCGGCCAUUUUGUACCUUGACGCAGCAGAAGUGGGGUGCCUGACGUGACGCUAAAUGAAAGGUGAUUGAGUGCCACUUUGCCAUCGGAAUUGAAAAUGCCUGUACAUUUGCCGAAAUGUCGUGCCUCGUGUGUCUCGCUGCCUGUACCCAGUCGUACGUCUUGUCCCAUGCAGCAGCAAAAGUCUAACAACCACGCUUCUUGCUGCAGCCAAAUGGUGAAAGGUGUGAGUGUGAUGAAGAAAAGUUCAACCGUUGUAUGCAGGAUGUGGUGCCAGUGUUAUCCAGAAGUAGCUGUGCUGGAGUUAUCCCAAAGCAGCUGUGCCAGAAUUUUCCCAAAUUGCUGACUUCAAAAUUUCAACUGUUUUCAUUUGUGGUUUUUGCUUUGCAAGUGGUAUCCCGUGUUCCUGACUUAAAAUAUUUUUAUCCAUUUUUAUUUGUGGUUUUCCUCUGCCAGUGAGUUGCUUGCUUGAAUUGGUUUCAUCUGUGUCUUUUGCGUUUUUACUUGUGCAAUGUGCAGUAUACGAUUGUGGCAAUCUGACCCCAUGUCAGAUUUGACAUAGUCGAUAACUGCUAGAUUAAAUUCCGGCUUUCUGCACCAACAAAAUAAUAACGGCACAUGUUAUUAUCGCGGUUGGGAAAGUCACAGGCCCCCCCCUCCCUGGGGGCCAAAAAAUAUAUAUGUGGUUGUGAUGAAAUAAAUAAAAAUAUAAAAAUAAA
Molecule: unclassified non-coding RNA, 5943 nt
Filed under: Daphnia pulicaria
Lineage: Eukaryota; Metazoa; Arthropoda; Branchiopoda; Diplostraca; Daphniidae
Description: exportin-1-like, transcript variant X2
Source: RNAcentral